GUGGGGAAUCUUCCGCAAUGGACGAAAGUCUGACGGAGCAACGCCGCGUGAACGAUGACGGCCUUCGGGUUGUAAAGUUCUGUUAUACGGGACGAAUGGCGUAGCGGUCAAUACCCGUUACGAGUGACGGUACCGUAAGAGAAAGCCACGGCUAACUACGUGCCAGCAGCCGCGGUAAUACGUAGGUGGCAAGCGUUGUCCGGAAUUAUUGGGCGUAAAGGGCGCGCAGGCGGCGUCGUAAGUCGGUCUUAAAAGGGCGGGGCUUAACCCCGUGAGGGGACCGAAACUGCGAUGCUAGAGUAUCGGAGAGGAAAGCGGAAUUCCUAGUGUAGCGGUGAAAUGCGUAGAUAUUAGGAGGAACACCAGUGGCGAAAGCGGCUUUCUGGACGACAACUGACGCUGAGGCGCGAAAGCCAGGGGAGCAAACGGGAUUAGAAACCCCUGUAGUCC
RNAcentral lists this ribosomal RNA (450 nucleotides) under uncultured bacterium. Its description in RNAcentral is "partial 16S ribosomal RNA". It matches the Rfam family "Bacterial small subunit ribosomal RNA", at positions 354 to 796 of the family's 1533-position model. The record is from RNAcentral.